ACGGCGGUGUCAGGAGGCAAAGGGCUUUCAUUUGCUCCCGAGGCAGCAAUAACCAUCCAUGCCUCGGUCAUUUAACACGGUAACCCAGCGAAAUUGAUACUCAACUCUUCCCUGCCCGGGGUCCACCCGCGUAAAUCAUCACCUGAGGAAACAAAAGCCCUGCCUGAGCCACGUGUCUGGCCAGCAGGCAGGCAGAGAAAUGGAGCGAUGCUUGAACCUCAAGGCUGCAUGGAGGCCAGUGAGCUGCUUAGGAAGUCAGAGGGGACUUUUUAUCCUGCCCUAAAAAUACUUCUUCAAGGCUUAAUUAAAACACAGGCUUUGGAGCCACGGAGACAGCCUACCCACCUACCAGUCUAAAAAGGACAUACCAUCUCCAGGAGAGACCGGUGGUUCUAACCACAUCGAUGACCCGUCUACGAGCCCCACCUACACAUAGUGCACAGCUCAGGAACUGUGUAAAAGUGAAGAGCAAAUCUGACUCCAUAUUAGAUCUGCUUCUUUAACCUUUGUAUUUUAUUGCUUGUCAGUCACUAAAAGGAUGCUGCCUACAAGGUUAAGUUAUAUACAGUGGCCCAUCUCUGGGAACCCUGCCUCCCAUGUGAUGAGCAUUAAGCUAAAACACCUUUGUUUAGCUCCCAGGAAACAUCCUAACCAGACCUACCUAUGAAUGAAUGCAGGGAGGAAGAAAUGAACACAUCCCUUCCAGAGGCUGACCAGAACCAGGAAAUGUUUGACUUUACUCCCUCUCCUUUUAGUAUAAGGAAGCCUGAAUGCUAACUCAAGCAAGAUGGUUCUUGGGGACACCAAGCCACCGUCUUCUUGGUCUGCUGGCUUUCCAGAUAAAGUUGCUAUUCCUUGCCCCAACAACUCGUCUCUCAAUUUACUGGCCUGUCGUGCAGUGAGCAGUAUGAGCUUGGACUCGGUAACAAUUAGCAUGUAUGCAUUGUCCUGAGUUACUUUUUUUUCUACAGUUAUAUACAUAAAUCUCUGUUUCUUCAAUGAGACUAUACCUUCCUUAAAUACUGGGACCGUGUCUUACCUUGUUUUUGUUUUUUUUUAAAUCCACCAAGUAGAAUGAAUCUCAUUAUUUUGGU
This is a non-coding RNA of Vicugna pacos (alpaca), 1094 nucleotides long. NCBI's taxonomy places the organism in Eukaryota, Metazoa, Chordata, Mammalia, Artiodactyla, Camelidae. The record is from RefSeq and is a predicted model, not a curated record.